Molecule: ribosomal RNA, 561 nt
Filed under: Hepatozoon canis
Lineage: Eukaryota; Apicomplexa; Hepatozoidae
Description: bacterial SSU rRNA
Rfam family: Eukaryotic small subunit ribosomal RNA
Source: RNAcentral
UUGUAAUUGGAAUGAUAGAAAUUUAAACCCUUUUUAAAGUAUCAAUUGGAGGGCAAGUCUGGUGCCAGCAGCCGCGGUAAUUCCAGCUCCAAUAGCGUAUAUUAAAAUUGUUGCAGUUAAAAAGCUCGUAGUUGAAGUUCUGCUGAAAGUAACCGGUCUGCUUUUAAUAAAAGUGGUAUCUUGGUAUGUAUUUAGCAAUGAUGUCCUUUGAAGUGUUUUUUACUUUAUUGUAAUAAAGCAUAUUCAGGACUUUUACUUUGAGAAAAUUAGAGUGUUUCUAGCAGGCYRACGCUUUGAAUACUGCAGCAUGGAAUAAUAAGAUAGGAUUUUAGUUCUACAUUAUUGGUUUUAAGAGCUAAAUUAAUGAUUGAUAGGGACAGUUGGGGGCAUUUGUAUUUAACUGUCAGAGGUGAAAUUCUUAGAUUUGUUAAAGACAAACUACUGCGAAAGCAUUUGCCAAAGAUGUUUUCAUUAAUCAAGAACGAAAGUUAGGGGAUCGAAGACGAUCAGAUACCGUCGUAGUCUUAACUAUAAACUAUGCCGACUAGAGAUUGGAGGUCG